UUCACUAGACAAGCGGUCUGUCAGGUGUACAUAUUGUGUUGUUGCGAAUAGACGAUUUUGCGUAUUAACUUGUUUUUGAUGUAAAUUGUUUUGCCUCUGUACACGUGGUCCGUUCUGAAGGUGUGGCUACCGUUCUGUGCUGAUGUUUUCAGAGGCUCUGUAGAUAGUAAUAUAUUAUUUUGAUAAUUUAUAAGUUGGUUUCAACCUGUAGUGUAGCAGUAGUGGCCGAGUGCAUCCAUCCGUUAAUGAGAGACACUGCUAUAAUGUCACUUUGUGUAAACUCCCAGAAUCGCAUGAAAAGCGAAGGAAUUGGUUACUGUUCACGUAAAAUGUUCCUGCUUCCCAGUAUAAUACGUCGAAUGAAGUGAAGAAUUAAUUAAUAAGCCUGCAUAUUUUUCAAAAAGUAUCAAUAAAACAUGACAUUUGAAAGCCCCUGUCUCGAACAGAAAGCCAACCAGCUUAAAUAUUAUUACUAAUAUAAUAUUAGGCCAAAUAUCAGUUUACCCAUCACCAACCUUUCCUCUCUGUGGAAUGGUUCUUCACCAUUAGAGAAUAAAGAUGCUACGCUAAUCAUCAAUGAUGUCCAUCAAAAAGUAACAUUGUUGACACAAGUACUACUCAUCAAUCUAGUAAAAGCCCUAAGUCUUAGCUUUCUUGUUUCAACUGUCAAGUGGACCAUCUUCUGUACAUAAAUUUUAUCAAGUUCAAAAUAGAAGGAUAUUUGUCAUUUGGUUGAUUUUUGAAGAAUAAAUAAAAAUUUGAAUGAAUCACUAAAUAAAGAAGUCACACAUAUCAUUUUGGAAGAUCUACAUGAGCAGAAAACUACAAGGUUGGGUAUUUGUACAACCCAAGCUACUGCAGAUAUUAUUUGAAGAAGAAAAUAUUAUUGAUUGAUUUGAGAGUCAUUGAAGGUGUUGAUGAAAAAAAAAAAACUCAGUGCAGGGAUAAUCACUCCACAAACAUUCUCCAGCAUAUUACAGAAGCACCAAUUUAAUUAAACUGUUGUUUUAAAUAACAUUCCAGAAUCAGCCAGCAUUGAUUAUGUUUUUUUUUGUUUGUUUUUUUUCAGAAUUAUGCAUGUGUUAUAAAAAAUUCUUUGAAUCCGAAAUGUUCAAAAUUACAUGAAAUUAUGUAUAGUUAUUGUCUGUUGGCCUGUUUGACAUUAGUGUGUUUUUUUAGACAGACACAUGUAUUAGAAAUUUAUUUCAACUAAGUUACAUGUUGUCAGAAUUUGGAUAUUUAGUAUAGAAUGGAUUGUUUCAUAUUUGUUUGUAUAUUAUGCAGUUUACCUUUGUAAAACCGAAAAUUUUCAUGGAUUGUAUGCAACUUUAUAAUAAUCAUUUUAUUGCUGCAGUAGCUUUUCAUUACAUGUUAUUUAGCGACAAGACUGUUAUGAGAUAUAUUAAAAACUUUUGAAAAGACUAUUCUCAUGC
Molecule: long non-coding RNA, 1433 nt
Organism: Limulus polyphemus (Atlantic horseshoe crab)
Lineage: Eukaryota; Metazoa; Arthropoda; Merostomata; Xiphosura; Limulidae
Exons: 5
Source: RefSeq, a predicted model, not a curated record